Molecule: ribosomal RNA, 786 nt
Filed under: Symbiodinium sp. Mp
Lineage: Eukaryota; Dinophyceae; Suessiales; Symbiodiniaceae
Description: partial Bacterial small subunit ribosomal RNA
Rfam family: Bacterial small subunit ribosomal RNA
Source: RNAcentral
UGCAGCUUAACUGUAAAAUUGCCUUUGAAACUGGUAGUCUUGAGUACAGUUGAGGUAGGCGGAAUGUGUCAUGUAGCGGUGAAAUGCUUAGAUAUGAUACAGAACACCGAUUGCGAAGGCAGCUUACUAAACUGUAACUGACGCUGAGGCACGAAAGCGUGGGGAGCGAACAGGAUUAGAUACCCUGGUAGUCCACGCCGUAAACGAUGUGCACUAGUUUGGUGGAGAUCUGACUCUCUGCCAGACGCCGAGAAAUCAUUAAGUGCACCGCCUGGGGAGUACGGUCGCAAGGCUAAAACUCAAAGGAAUUGACGGGGGCUCACACAAGCGGUGGAGCAUGUUGCUUAAUUCGAAGCAACGCGAAGAACCUUACCUGGGCUUGACAUGUAUGGAUUAGCUCUUGGAAACAUGAGUGACGCCCUUUGGGUGGAACAUACACAGGUGCUGCAUGGCUGUCGUCAGCUCGUGCUGUGAAGUGUCGGGUUAAGUCCCUUAACGAGCGCAACCCUUAUCGCUAGUUGCCAGCGCGUCAUGGCGGGGACUCUAGCGAGACUGCCGGUGUCAAACCGGAGGAAGGUGGGGAUGACGUCAGGUCAUCAUGGCCCUUACGGCCAGGGCUACACACGUGCUACAAUGGUGCGCACAGAGGGCUGCAAACCCGCGAGGGGGAGCCAAUCUCACAAAACGCAUCGUAGUCCGGAUCGCAGUCUGCAACUCGACUGCAUGAAGUCGGAAUCGCUAGUAAUCGUGAAUCAGAAUGUCACGGUGAAUACGUUCCCGGGCCUU